AUGUCAACUUUGGAAGUGAGAAAGUUUGAUGCAAUGGUGACUUCUGGUUAUGGCAAUGAGCUGCUCUUGCAAAUACAUUCGGUUUUGGUUGACAAGGGAUUGGACACGGGGCUAGAAGGUGGUGAGGAAAAUAUGGCAAAUGAUGAGAUUAAGAAGCUAGAUAAGAAGGCAUUGACAGUUCUUCGUUUGAAUCUUGCUGACGAUGUGUUCAAGCAAGUUUGUGUUUGGUGGGGGGGGGGGGACUGCUUUGUUAUUAUGGAAGAAAAUGGAAGCGCUCUAUUUGGACCACUGUCCAGCAUAUUCUACCUCAUGAUGCACUUGUUUACGAUGCAUAUGACAAAAGGAGGUCCUUUGAGCAUGGUUGUGGUGGUAAAGCUGCUCCCAAUAGUAGUAACUGAAAAUCCAAGGGACGUUCACAGCCAUGUUCUAGCAAGAAAAUUUGAUGCCACUAUUGUAAGGAGGAGGUCCAUAUCAGGGCGGCUUGCUUACUGGGUCAGCCUUGCUGGCUUCAAGCUCCUACAUGGACGAUAG
RNAcentral lists this ribosomal RNA (531 nucleotides) under Triticum aestivum (bread wheat). RNAcentral describes it as "partial small subunit ribosomal RNA". The record is from RNAcentral. Lineage: Eukaryota; Viridiplantae; Streptophyta; Magnoliopsida; Poales; Poaceae.